This 207-nucleotide long non-coding RNA is filed under the name Macaca fascicularis (crab-eating macaque). RNAcentral describes it as "lncRNA (ENSMFAG00000061197.1)". Lineage: Eukaryota; Metazoa; Chordata; Mammalia; Primates; Cercopithecidae. The record is from RNAcentral.
AAACUUGUUCAUCGUUUUUGCAAAAAGGCAACUUUGAAUUCCAGUUUGGACUCGGGUAAUAUUCUCUUGUUUCCUCAUUCAAAAGUGUGCUGAAAAUACUGUGCAUGUGUGAAUUCAAGAAUAACCAGGGAGUGGGCGAGGUCGAGGUUUGAAUUAUCCUGGUAAAAACAUACUUUUUCCCAUUUGUCUAAACAUCUUGAAUCCACU